AACAAAUAGAAAAUGACGUUCAAGAACCAAUAAAAUAAACACCAGUCUGGCUAGUAUUUUCAAUUGCGCCCUAUGAAACUAUACUACAAAUGCUAUAAGCCAACUGUGUAGUAACAUAUGAUCUUAAAUAUUAUACAGUAUGUUCAAUUACUCUACCAUCUAUCUAUAAACUACUAUUAAUCCCCAUGGCCUUAUGCUGAUGUGGCCUAACCCCCUUAAUUUUAUAAUUAUUUUUAAAAAAAUUGACUAGAUUCUUUUUUUUUCUUUUUGUUUUGGGGAAAGAUGGACAGUCAUCUCUUUACAUUUGGGCGUAUGUGCCCCACCGAGAAGAUGGACCGUCAUCUCUUUAAUUUAGGAGUGUGCGCCCCACCGAGAAAAUGGACCGUCAUCUCUGUCUUUUUUUUUUCCUUUUACUAUACCUCUCUCUUUAUUUCUCUCUUCUUCUUCAUGUUAUCGUUCUUUUUUUAGUUUUUUGGAUUUUGUUCUCACGUGCUUUCAUUUUCUUUCUUUGAUCAGGGUCUUGAGCUCUCCAUACCUACAACACCUGCCAUCCUCUACCCACGUACAUGGCAGGAGCAGAUUUUUUGACGGAUCGGGGCGGAUUUAAGGAAGAAAAGGGUCUCCCGCCUCCCGCUCCAUUUACUUGGCGGAUCGGGACGGAUUCGGAGCGGGUUAUAUUUUUCUAUAUUUUUUGUUCCGACUUACCACCCUAUUCGGGUGGAUCGGGGCGAGAGCUCCACCAACCUAGAUCCAUUUGCAUCCCUAAAUCUACUUUAUUCACAAUAAAUAAGCUAUAUUAUUUCAUCAACAGUAUAUAAAAGCAAUAUUCCCCACCGAUCUUUUUAAUUACUUUUUCUCAAAUUGACUGGAUUUUUUUCCCCUUUUUUCUCCAUUUUUUUUUUUGUUGACUGAAGAUGGACUGUCAUCGUUAUGAAUGCUACCCGUUGUCCAAUGCUUUGUCGUUU
Molecule: long non-coding RNA, 965 nt
Organism: Ananas comosus (pineapple)
Lineage: Eukaryota; Viridiplantae; Streptophyta; Magnoliopsida; Poales; Bromeliaceae
Exons: 2
Source: RefSeq, a predicted model, not a curated record